ACACCUCAACUCCCGUGGUUCGCCACGGUGAGCUUGGACUCUGGGGGUUUUGCUGGCCUGUGGUCGGCUCCUCUCAAAUGAAUUAGCCUGCCAGUGUUUGGUGGCGUCACGGGUGUGAUAAACUAUCUACGCUUGUGGUUUUCCACCAGGUAACCUUCAGCAGUGGAGGUUCACUGGAGCUUACAGAUGUCUCUCUUCGAUGAGGACAGCCCUUUGAAU
RNAcentral lists this unclassified non-coding RNA (219 nucleotides) under uncultured Tomentella. RNAcentral describes it as "sequence contains ITS2". Lineage: Eukaryota; Fungi; Basidiomycota; Agaricomycetes; Thelephorales; Thelephoraceae. The record is from RNAcentral.